This 371-nucleotide ribosomal RNA is filed under the name uncultured bacterium. Its description in RNAcentral is "bacterial SSU rRNA". It matches the Rfam family "Bacterial small subunit ribosomal RNA", at positions 29 to 416 of the family's 1533-position model. The record is from RNAcentral.
AACGAACGCUGGCGGCAGGCUUAACACAUGCAAGUCGAGCGCGGACUUCGGUCCGAGCGGCGGACGGGUGAGUAACGCGUGGGAACGUGCCCUUUCUUUCGGAAUAGCCUCUGGAAACGGAGAUUAAUGCCGGAUACGCCCGCCAUGGGGACAUGGGAUGGGGAAAGAUUUAUCGGGGAAGGAUCGGCCCGCGUUGGAUUAGGUAGUUGGUGGGGUAACGGCCUACCAAGCCGACGAUCCAUAGCUGGUGAGAGGAUGAUCAGCCACACUGGGACUGAGACACGGCCCAGACUCCUACGGGAGGCAGCAGUGGGGAAUUUUGGACAAGUGGGGCAACCUGAUCCAGCCAUUCCGCGUGAGUGAAGAAGGCC